RNAcentral lists this ribosomal RNA (449 nucleotides) under uncultured bacterium. Its description in RNAcentral is "partial 16S ribosomal RNA". It matches the Rfam family "Bacterial small subunit ribosomal RNA", at positions 29 to 523 of the family's 1533-position model. The record is from RNAcentral.
AACGAACGCUGGCGGCAUGCCUAACACAUGCAAGUCGAACGAGAUCUUCGGGUCUAGUGGCGCACGGGUGCGUAACGCGUGGGAAUCUGCCCUUUGGUUCGGAAUAACAGUUGGAAACGACUGCUAAUACCGGAUGAUGACGAAAGUCCAAAGAUUUAUCGCCAGAGGAUGAGCCCGCGUAGGAUUAGCUAGUUGGUGUGGUAAAGGCGCACCAAGGCGACGAUCCUUAGCUGGUCUGGGAGGAUGAUCAGCCGCACUGGGACUAAGACACGGCCCAGACUCCUACGGGAGGCAGCAGUGGGGAAUAUUGGACAAUGGGCGAAAGCCUGAUCCAGCAAUGCCGCGUGAGUGAUGAAGGCCUUAGGGUUGUAAAGCUCUUUUACCCGGGAUGAUAAUGACAGUACCGGGAGAAUAAGCUCCGGCUAACUCCGUGCCAGCCGCCGCGGUAA